This 908-nucleotide ribosomal RNA is filed under the name uncultured bacterium. Its description in RNAcentral is "bacterial SSU rRNA". It matches the Rfam family "Bacterial small subunit ribosomal RNA", at positions 8 to 916 of the family's 1533-position model. The record is from RNAcentral.
AGAGUUUGAUCAUGGCUCAGGAUGAACGCUAGCGGCAGGCCUAACACAUGCAAGUCGAGGGGCAGCGCGGGUGGCAACACCUGGCGGCGACCGGCGCACGGGUGCGUAACGCGUAUGGAACCUGCCCACCGCAGGGGGAUAGCCCGUCGAAAGGCGGAUCAAUACCCCAUGGUCCCUAGGGCCCGCAUGGGCUUUAGGGUAAAGAUUUAUCGGCGGUGGAUGGCCAUGCGUGCCAUUAGCUGGUUGGUGGGGUAACGGCCCACCAAGGCGAUGAUGGCUAGGGGGUCUGAGAGAAUGGUCCCCCACACUGGUACUGAGACACGGACCAGACUCCUACGGGAGGCAGCAGUGAGGAAUAUUGGUCAAUGGGCGGAAGCCUGAACCAGCCAUGCCGCGUGCAGGAUGACGGCCCUACGGGUUGUAAACUGCUUUUGUGCGGGAAGAAUAACCCCCUCGUGAGGGGGGAUGCCGGUACCGCGCGAAUAAGGAUCGGCUAACUCCGUGCCAGCAGCCGCGGUAAUACGGAGGAUCCGAGCGUUAUCCGGAUUUACUGGGUUUAAAGGGUGCGUAGGCGGGCUCUUAAGUCUGCGGUGAAAGUCGGCGGCUCAACCGUCGGAUUGCCGUGGAUACUGGGGGCCUUGGGUACGGUCGGGGCCGGCGGAAUGCGUGGUGUAGCGGUGAAAUGCUUAGAUAUCACGCGGAACGCCGAUCGCGAAAGGCAGCUGGGCCAGGCCGUUACCGACGCUGAGGCACGAAAGCGUGGGGAUCAAACAGGAUUAGAUACCCUGGUAGUCCACGCUGUAACGAUGAUCACUGGGUGCCGGCGAUACACGUCGGUGCCUGAGCGAAAGCAUUAAGUGAUCCACCUGGGGAGUACGAUCGCAGGUGAAACUCAAAGGAAUUGACGG